RNAcentral lists this unclassified non-coding RNA (1585 nucleotides) under Hevea brasiliensis (rubber tree). The record is from RNAcentral. Lineage: Eukaryota; Viridiplantae; Streptophyta; Magnoliopsida; Malpighiales; Euphorbiaceae.
CUGUUACACAUUUGGAUCUGAAUUUACGAUUCAUAAAAGUUAACUUCAGUAUACAAACAAAGAACAUUCACCAGAAAUGGAUGAAAUGAGUGCUUCUUAGCUGAGGAGGAUACAUUUAUGGUUAUUCUGUUCACAGAUAAAUAUUGGACGUGGAAGGAGACAAAACAAGACAAUGUCCAUAGAACACAAGAUACAUAUUUUACGUAACCUUCAGUGUGACAACUUCCGUAUAAACAGGUUUGUUCGAUGCCCUCCCAUACGCUUCCUCCCUUCUUUGCGAUGCAUCAUGAGGUGGAAUAGAAAAUCAAUAAGUGCGCGAUAUUCCAAUCUACAGUUCACUUCUUAGUAUUUCACAUAGUUUGCAUGUUUUGCUUACCAUAUUGGUAGAGCAGGAACGAAUUAUUACUGCUGCCAGUUGUAUUGUUGUUGAUUGCGAUUCACAUUUGAGCCACGUCCAGUGCCAGAAGACCCAUAUGGGGCACCGUGGGGAUAAUUUGGGCCUCCAACUCCCCGGGGACCACUGCCUCCUGGCAUUCCUCCUGAACUGUAUUGGGUACCCCUUCCUUGAGGUGGGUAUCGACCACUGCCAUAAGCUCCACCUUGGCCACGAGUAGGGUGACCGUAUCCUCCAGAAGGAUUUCCACCAGCUAAAUAUCUGCCAGGUCCUGCUGGAGGUCCAUGUGGCUUUGCAUAGUGGUGGCUAGGUCCGCCAGCAGCCUGAGGAUGGGAUGCAUGCAUUGGGGGAUUUGGCCCUGGUCUCAUUUGGCCAUGUCCUUGCCCUGACUGCUGAACUGGUGGAAGCCGACCAUGCUGCUGCUGGUGAUGCAGUUUCUGACGUUUAGCUGCUUCCUCAUGCUGCCUCUGCUGCUGUCGCUUUUUCUUUGUCUGGAACUCAUGUGAAGCUUCAUAGGUUGGCAAACUCUUUGGAUCGCACGGUAAUGGAUCAGUCCAGAAAUAUUCAGCAUCAAGUGCAUCCUUGGCUGAUAUUCUCUGAGAUGGGUCGAGGGUGAGCAUCUUGUCAAGCAACUCCAAGGCAUGUCGGUCAAAGUGUCUGAAAACCUCCCUUAGGCGUCUUUUCAAUGGCCUUGAUGGUUUGAAAUUGUUAUACCAUGGAAUCUUUGAAACUCCAGGCCAAUUAACCUCGUCAGGAGAGCCACACAACUCAAAAAUCUUGUUCAGCUGCUCUGGCUCAUCCUUCCCUGGAAAAAUUGGUUUUCCAUGAAGCAGCUCAGCAAAGAUGCAACCAACUGACCACAUAUCAACGGCUGGACCAUACUUAGUGGUCCCAAGAAGCAGCUCAGGUGGUCUGUACCAUAAAGUAAUCACACGAUUUGUAAGAUUUGCAUUGUGAUCAUUAGAGAAGGAUCGAGCAAGCCCAAAAUCAGCAAGCUUCAAAUUGCCUUUGUUGUCAAUCAGAAGAUUGGAACCUUUAAUAUCACGAUGAAGUACUUGAUUUACAUGACAAUAGUGCAGUCCCGUCAAAAGCUGCCUCAUGUAACACUUAAUCUGCGGAACUGAAAAUCUCAUUCCAGGACGAUCAGCAAGCCCAGUCAAAUCAUGGUCCAUGUACUCAAAGACCAUGUAG